RNAcentral lists this ribosomal RNA (541 nucleotides) under uncultured bacterium. RNAcentral describes it as "bacterial SSU rRNA". It matches the Rfam family "Bacterial small subunit ribosomal RNA", at positions 835 to 1376 of the family's 1533-position model. The record is from RNAcentral.
UGGGAUCCGUGCCGUAGCUAACGCAUUAAGUACCCCGCCUGGGGAGUACGGCCGCAAGGCUAAAACUCAAAGAAAUUGACGGGGGCCCGCACAAGCGGCGGAGCAUGUGGAUUAAUUCGAUGCAACGCGAAGAACCUUACCUGGGUUUGACAUGCACAGGACGCCGGCAGAGAUGUCGGUUCCCUUGUGGCCUGUGUGCAGGUGGUGCAUGGCUGUCGUCAGCUCGUGUCGUGAGAUGUUGGGUUAAGUCCCGCAACGAGCGCAACCCUUGUCUCAUGUUGCCAGCGGGUAAUGCCGGGGACUCGUGAGAGACUGCCGGGGUCAACUCGGAGGAAGGUGGGGAUGACGUCAAGUCAUCAUGCCCCUUAUGUCCAGGGCUUCACACAUGCUACAAUGGCCGGUACAAAGGGCUGCGAUGCCGCGAGGUUAAGCGAAUCCUUUUAAAGCCGGUCUCAGUUCGGAUCGGGGUCUGCAACUCGACCCCGUGAAGCCGGAGUCGCUAGUAAUCGCAGAUCAGCAACGCUGCGGUGAUACGUUCCCG